Molecule: ribosomal RNA, 515 nt
Filed under: Sorites sp. GIII154_2288x
Lineage: Eukaryota; Foraminifera; Miliolida; Soritidae
Description: SSU rRNA
Rfam family: Eukaryotic small subunit ribosomal RNA (bases 1-367)
Source: RNAcentral
AAUACAUUUUUACAAUACUGUGAACAAACCAGAGUGUAUAAAACAUGUAAUAUAUUAUAUAUUUAGCAAUGAAUGUUUUAUCAUGGAAUAUUGCUUUUUAAUAUAUUUAUCGAUGGAGAUAGUUGGAGUUAAGAGUACUGAUAGGCGAGCGGUGAAAUGCAUUGACCCUAUUAAGACUAACAAAAGCGAAAGCACUUAACUAGAUUAUUCUCUUUGUAUUAUUACAAUGAAGAGCGAAGGUUGGGGGAACAAAGAGGAUCAGAUACCCUCGUAGUCCUAUUUUUACAUCAAACUAUGGGAUUUCAAUCACACUUAUGUUCUACAAUAUUUUUUAUUAUAUAUAAUUGAGUACUUAAUUGUUUACUCUUAUAUUUAAUAUUAUUAUUUUUAUUAUUGAUUAUAUGUACUUUGAGCUCAUAUAAUUAUAUAGGUGAGAUGUAAGCAUUAUAGGAUUCCAUAAUAUAUAAGUAAUAUUAUAUUAUUAUGAUCCUUAUUUAUAAAAAUGUAAUGUGAUG